This is a non-coding RNA of Triticum aestivum (bread wheat), 133 nucleotides long. The record is from Rfam. NCBI's taxonomy places the organism in Eukaryota, Viridiplantae, Streptophyta, Magnoliopsida, Poales, Poaceae.
GAUAUACUCCCUUCGUCCGGAAAUACUCGUCAUCAAAAUGUAUAAUAGAGGAUGUUUCUAGACGUAUUUUAGUUUUAGAUACAUUUUAUUUAUUUAUUUUGAUGACCAGUAUUUUCGACGGAGGGAGUAGAUU